Molecule: ribosomal RNA, 500 nt
Filed under: uncultured bacterium
Lineage: Bacteria
Description: partial 16S ribosomal RNA
Rfam family: Bacterial small subunit ribosomal RNA
Source: RNAcentral
GUUGAACGCUGGCGGCAUGCUUUACACAUGCAAGUCGAACGGUAACAGGGUGCUUGCACCGCUGACGAGUGGCGAACGGGUGAGUAAUGCGUCGGAACGUGCCGAGUAGUGGGGGAUAACGCAGCGAAAGUUGUGCUAAUACCGCAUACGUACUGAGGUAGAAAGUGGGGGACCUUCGGGCCUCACGCUAUUCGAGCGGCCGACGUCUGAUUAGCUAGUAGGUGAGGUAAAGGCUCACCUAGGCGACGAUCAGUAGCGGGUCUGAGAGGAUGAUCCGCCACACUGGGACUGAGGCACGGCCCAGACUCCUACGGGAGGCAGCAGUGGGGAAUUUUGGACAAUGGGCGAAAGCCUGAUCCAGCCAUGCCGCGUGUCUGAAGAAGGCCUUCGGGUUGUAAAGGACUUUUGUCGGGGAGGAAAUCCCCAGCGUUAAUACCGCUGGGGGAUGACAGUACCUGAAGAAUAAGCACCGGCUAACUACGUGCCGGCAGCCGCCGUAA